Danio aesculapii is the source of this 238-nucleotide long non-coding RNA. RefSeq lists it as uncharacterized. The transcript has 4 exons. Lineage: Eukaryota; Metazoa; Chordata; Actinopteri; Cypriniformes; Danionidae. The record is from RefSeq and is a predicted model, not a curated record.
CUCUGUUGUGAAUCCAGUUUCUUUCACAAGACUGAAGGAGUGUUUCGAGCCAAAAGUAUAUUCCUGGAUGUGUUUGUGAGUUUUGAAGAAAUUCAUUAACAAAGACAAUGGGACCAAAACCUUCUAAAGUGAAAUCACACUGUAAGGUAAAAUGUGGUCCAACCAGCAUCAUGGGUGAAUAUGAUCUUGAUCUGGAAUACCCUAACAACAACCCAAAUAUGGUAAGAUUACAAUGUGA